This 910-nucleotide ribosomal RNA is filed under the name Exiguobacterium sp. DJM1005. RNAcentral's name for it is "bacterial SSU rRNA". It matches the Rfam family "Bacterial small subunit ribosomal RNA", at positions 288 to 1166 of the family's 1533-position model. Lineage: Bacteria; Bacillati; Bacillota; Bacilli; Caryophanales. The record is from RNAcentral.
CGACCUGAGAGGGUGAUCGGCCACCACUGGGACUGAAACACGGCCCAGACUCCUACGGGAGGCAGGCAGUAAGGAAUUCUUCAACAAUGGACGAAAGUCUGAUGGAGCAACGCCGCGUGAACGAUGAAGGCUUUCCGGUCGUAAAGUUCUGUUGUAAGGGAAGAACAAGUGCCGCAGGCAAUGGCGGCACCUUGACGGUACCUUGCGAGAAAGCCACGGGCUAACUACGUGCCAGCAGCCGCGGUAAUACGUAGGUGGCAAGCGUUGUCCGGGAAUUAUUGGGCGUAAAGCGCGCGCAGGCGGCCUCUUAAGUCUGAUGUGAAAGCCCCCGGCUCAACCGGGGAGGGCCAUUGGAAACUGGGAGGCUUGAGUAUAGGAGAGAAGAGUGGAAUUCCACGUGUAGCGGUGAAAUGCGUAGAGAUGUGGAGGAACACCAGUGGCGAAGGCGACUCUUUGGCCUAUAACUGACGCUGAGGCGCGAAAGCGUGGGGAGCAAACAGGAUUAGAUACCCUGGUAGUCCACGCCGUAAACGAUGAGUGCUAGGUGUUGGAGGGUUUCCGCCCUUCAGUGCUGAAGCUAACGCAUUAAGCACUCCGCCUGGGGAGUACGGUCGCAAGGCUGAAAACUCAAAAGGAAUUGACGGGGACCCGCACAAGCGGUGGUAGCAUGUGGUUUAAUUUCGAAGCAACGCGAAGAACCUUACCAACUCUUGACAUCCCCCUGACCGGUACAGAGAUGUACCCUUCCCCUUCCGGGGGCAGGGGGUGACAAGGUUGGUGCCAUGGCUGUUCAUCAACUCGUGUCAUGAAAAUGUUUGGGUUAAGUCCCGCAACGAGCGCCAACCCUUAGUCCUUACUUGCCAGCAUUUGAUUGAGGCCACUCUAAGGGAGACUGCCGGUGACAAACCGG